CCUACGGGAGGCAGCAGUAAGGAAUAUUGGACAAUGCCCGCAAGGGUGAUCCAGCCAUGCCGCGUGCAGGAAGACGGCCCUAUGGGUUGUAAACUGCUUUUACACCGGAGAAAACCCCCCUACGUGUAGGGGGCUGAUAGUAUGGUGAGAAUAAGCAUCGGCUAACUUCGUGCCAGCAGCCGCGGUAAGACGAAGGAUGCAAGCGUUAUCCGGAUUCAUUGGGUUUAAAGGGAGCGUAGGUGGCCUUAUAAGUCAGUGGUGAAAUCUCUGGGCUUAACCCAGAAAUUGCCAUUGAUACUGUAGGGCUUGAGUAUAGUUGCCGUUGGCGGAAUAUGACAUGUAGUGGUGAAAUACAUAGAGAUGUCAUAGAACACCGAUUGCGAAGGCAGCUGACGAAACUAUAACUGACACUGAGGCUCGAAAGUGUGGGGAUCAAACAGGAUUAGAUACCCUGGUAGUCCACACUGUAAACGAUGAUUACUCGCUGCUAGGGGGCAACCUUUAGUGGCUUAGCGAAAGCGAUAAGUAAUCCACCUGGGGAGUACGCCGGCAACGGUGAAACUCAAAGGAAUUGACGG
Molecule: ribosomal RNA, 578 nt
Filed under: uncultured bacterium
Lineage: Bacteria
Description: bacterial SSU rRNA
Rfam family: Bacterial small subunit ribosomal RNA
Source: RNAcentral